Molecule: ribosomal RNA, 492 nt
Filed under: uncultured bacterium
Lineage: Bacteria
Description: partial 16S ribosomal RNA
Rfam family: Bacterial small subunit ribosomal RNA
Source: RNAcentral
AGUGAACGCUGGCGGUAGGCCUAACACAUGCAAGUCGAACGGCAGCACAGUAAGAGCUUGCUCUUACGGGUGGCGAGUGGCGGACGGGUGAGGAAUACAUCGGAAUCUACUUUUUCGUGGGGGAUAACGUAGGGAAACUUACGCUAAUACCGCAUACGACCUACGGGUGAAAGCAGGGGAUCUUCGGACCUUGCGCGAUUGAAUGAGCCGAUGUCGGAUUAGCUAGUUGGCGGGGUAACGGCCCACCAAGGCGACGAUCCGUAGCUGGUCUGAGAGGAUGAUCAGCCACACUGGAACUGAGACACGGUCCAGACUCCUACGGGAGGCAGCAGUGGGGAAUAUUGGGCAAUGGGCGCAAGCCUGAUCCAGCCAUACCGCGUGGGUGAAGAAGGCCUUCGGGUUGUAAAGCCCUUUUGUUGGGAAAGAAAAGCAGCAGGUUAAUACCCCGCUGUUCUGACGGUACCCAAAGAAUAAGCACCGGCUAACUUCGUG